This 460-nucleotide ribosomal RNA is filed under the name uncultured bacterium. RNAcentral's name for it is "partial 16S ribosomal RNA". It matches the Rfam family "Bacterial small subunit ribosomal RNA", at positions 338 to 795 of the family's 1533-position model. The record is from RNAcentral.
CCUACGGGUGGCAGCAGUGAGGAAUAUUGGUCAAUGGGCGCUAGCCUGAACCAGCCAAGUAGCGUGAAGGAUGACUGCCCUAUGGGUUGUAAACUUCUUUUAUAUGGGAAUAAAGUGCAGUAUGUAUACUUCUUUGCAUGUACUUUAUGAAUAAGGAUCGGCUAACUCCGUGCCAGCAGCCGCGGUAAUACGGAGGAUCCGAGCGUUAUCCGGAUUUAUUGGGUUUAAAGGGAGCGUAGGCGGGUUGUUAAGUCAGUUGUGAAAGUUUGCGGCUCAACCGUAAAAUUGCAGUUGAUACUGGCAGUCUUGAGUACAGUAGAGGUAGGCGGAAUUCGGGGUGUAGCGGUGAAAUGCUUAGAUAUCACGAAGAACUCCGAUGGCGAAGGCAGCCUGCUGGACUGUAACUGACGCUGAUGCUCGAAAGUGUGGGUAUCAAACAGGAUUAGAUACCCGUGUAGUC